GUGUCAGCAGCCGCGGUAAUACGUAGGGGCCGAGCGUUGUCCGGAGUUACUGGGCGUAAAGCGCGCGCAGGCGGCUCGGUAAGCUCGGCGUGAAAGCCCCCGGCUCAACCGGGGAGGGUCGUCGGGGACUGCCGGGCUUGAGGGCGGUAGGGGCUGGUGGAAUUCCCGGUGUAGUGGUGAAAUGCGUAGAGAUCGGGAGGAACACCCGUGGCGAAGGCGGCCAGCUGGGCCGACCCUGACGCUGAGGCGCGAAGGCGUGGGGAGCGAACGGGAUUAGAUACCCCGGUAGUCC
This 292-nucleotide ribosomal RNA is filed under the name uncultured bacterium. RNAcentral describes it as "partial 16S ribosomal RNA". It matches the Rfam family "Bacterial small subunit ribosomal RNA", at positions 505 to 796 of the family's 1533-position model. The record is from RNAcentral.